Molecule: long non-coding RNA, 4411 nt
Organism: Lathyrus oleraceus (garden pea)
Lineage: Eukaryota; Viridiplantae; Streptophyta; Magnoliopsida; Fabales; Fabaceae
Exons: 2
Source: RefSeq, a predicted model, not a curated record
CUUGAGAAAGAGGAGGAGAAACUCAGAAGAGCUGAGCGGCGCAUAUACAUUCAAUCCUCUCCCUCAUUUUCAAGGGAGUCAAUGAAAAUAUAGUUAGUUUAUUAUCUAAUAGAGAGAGUUGCAUGUGUUUUAGACACUCAACCUACCAAUGAAUCAAACUAUCAUUUAAACUCGCACAACAACAUUGUUUCUGUUUCCGAACUCAACCGCACCACCAACGGUAUUGAAUCUGCAUCUCACGCUGUCAACCUCUCUUCAACGGUAAGUUACUCCGUCUUCAUCGUCAUUAUUGUGUGUAACGAUGCUCAAUGUCUCGAGCUCAAUACGGAAAACAACUGGAUCUGCAGCAAGAUCAGCGUCAUCCAUCGAGGUUCAAGUGGUUUUUUCAAUUUGAUUAUCUCUGUUUACCAUGUUCUAAUUUAUUUUUCAUUUGCUGUUUGUGCGUAUCAUGUCGGCAUUUUUCGUUUCAUUCUUUUAGUGUUUGAUAUGUAUGUCACUGGUUUAAGAGUGUUGUUGUUGUUUUCAACAUGUUAUGAUUCUCGAAUGUACAGGUUUCGGUUUUGCUCAGUUUCAUAUUAAUCUUGAUAGGGGCUUCUGUUGAGCUAAGGUGGUGAUAUUUAUUUGGGUCAAUUCAGAUUGGGUUAGUGUUUGUAUUGAUGUGCGUAUUUCGGUUAUCUAUUGCGGUCUAAUUAUUCCAUGUUUGCACUGGAUUUUGAUGCUAUAAUAAUGAUGGUGUGACACUUAUGCAAUGUUGAGAAUAUAUUCUGUGUUGAUGCUAGUUUGACUUGCAUGUAAAUUACAAUCACUCUCUUGUGUUAACACCAUCUUAAAUUUAUAACAUGCUUAUAUAUUGGUAUGCUUAGACUUUACGUUUGACAGUUUUGUUAUGAAUCUUCAUAUGUCGUCAUUUUUCAUACUAAGAAAAUAGUACACUCACUUUUUCAGCUAGAAACCUCCUUUGAGUUUAAUAUUAGUCAUGGCAUGAGAAAAUGUUAUUGAUAUAAGUUAUUUAGGACUUGUUUGGUUUGAGAUAAUGUUUCUUGUGUUUACCAAUAAUUACAAGUUUCUACAAAAUUAUUACUUCAUUGUUUUCAAAAAUAAUUAAAAGGCUUUCAUUGUUUCAUAUACAAACACCAGUAUUUGAAAUAGGGAGUGCAAUGAAAAUAAGGUGGUUACUUUUGUAAGUGUUAAUGAAAACUAGAAAUGAACAUAAGGAAUUUUAACUGUAAUAAAAUAUGUUGAAGUUAGCCAUGAAUAUUCUAAUAAGUAAACUCACAUGUUAUAGUUAGGGCCAAUUGCAUUAUGUUGUUUUUCUUUUUGACUGAAAAAGUAUUUUAUGAGAAUAUUUUAUGAGAUCUUUCAAUGUGGGAUGUUGGCUACUUAGGACUCGUUGUAGUGUCUUUUCACCUUGAAAAGUAUUGAGUAAAAUUAUUAGGAUGUAAAUAUUUGAUUAUCUACUCAAUUUUGUCCAAUUUUAUAGAAUUAUUUCCAUAUACCAAGAGAAAGGUUCCUAACAUGAGUGCAGCUAACUUAUUUUAAUAGAAUAUAACUUUCUUUAUUUUUAGAUUGGUCCACCUAAAUAAAACCAAAUUUCCAAAAUCAAACAAUUCUCAAUUCAAUGUUGAAUCCGGUUUCAAAUACCUUUGUAAGUCAAUCACUUUAAGCAUCACCAUCAACCUCACAUAGCUUACUCUUGGGCUUUCUUACAAUGAGACCUAUUCGGUUAUUAGAUGAUCGAUUAGGUGAUUAAUUCACUAAAAUAUAAUUUGUUUACAAACACAAAUUCAAAUCUCGAUCCAAUAUCGAGUAUUUUUAUUCAAAUUAAUUUAAAAAUACCUACUCCGAUUAAACACCAUUUUAUUUAGAAAUGAAAAGGGGGAUGGUUUUGAGUUUUCAACUCCUCUCCUCGAUUAUUUGAAUAUGAGUUCUCUUACUCGGUUAGUCAGAUAAUUGUCAUUUCUAAUUCGCCUAAACAAUCAAAUCAAAUCAUUUUAUAAUAAGAAACGAAAAGGGAGAUAACUUCGAGUCUUCAAUUUUUCUCCUCGAUUAUUUGGAUACAAGUUCUCUUAUUUGGUUAGUUAAAUAAUCGUUGUUCUUCCGCAAACUUAUAAACCCGAUAAAAUCAAAUUAUUUUCAUAAUAAGCUAAAUGAAAAGGGAGAUGACUUUGAGUUUUCAACUUCUCUCCUCAAUUGUUUGAAUAUGAGUUCUCUUACUCGGUCAGUCGAACAAUUGUCAUUUUUCCACAAAUUAAUAAAUCAAUCAAAGCUAUACGAAAAGGGAGAUGGUCUUGAGUUUUCAAUUCCUCUUCUCAAAUGCUUGGAUGUGAGUCAUUUUACUCAUUCGUUCAAGUACUUUUCGUUUAUUCUAAAAACGUUAACCAUACAUAAAUCUUAUUUUCAUAAAUAUUCAGAUGAAACAGAAAGCGGUUUAGAGUCUUCUAUUCCCUUUCUCGAUUAUUAGGAUACGAGUUGCCUUACUCGAUUAUCCGAGUAUUCGUCAUCCUUUCAAAAUACUUUAACUACUAUCAAAUCUUUUUAUAAUUAAGGAUGAAAAAGAAAGUGGUUUAGAGUCUUCUACUCCCUUUCCCGACUGUUAGGAUACGAGUUGUCUUACUCGACUAUCCGAGUAAUCGUCAUCCAACCAAAAACAUCUCAACAUAACCAGUCAAACAAAAUAUCCAACAUAUUAAUCCAACUUGUCACCCUCGUGUGAUCAAAACUCUUUUCAUAAAGAACACUGUUUAAUCCUUUCUAAUGCGCACAACAAACUAGUGCUUAAGCCUCCGUCAAGAGUAGACAAGCCAACGUUUAGCCUUUAAGAUGCGAUCUAAACAGUUGUUCACUAAAAGACACCAACCAACCGUAGUUCCCCGAACUACGAAUGCUCUGACUUCCUUAUUGCACCAUAAGGAUACGUAGGCAGGAGAUUGUUGUAUCUUCGCGAGCACACGAAUAAAAAACCUCCCCUUUUCCCUUUCUGAGGUUCUCAUCCAUUUCUAUUUUCAAUAUUUUAUAACCCAAAGAUAAUAAACAAACAUAAAUUAACACUCGAAACACACAUUAGAACUAAAAGGUUCCCGUUGAGUACAACGGACGUAAGGGGUGCUAAUACCUUCCCCUUACGUAAUCCACUCCCGAACCCGAAUAUGGUUGCGAUGACCAUUAUUAUAUUUCCUAAAGGUUUUAUCGAUAUUUUCCUAUCCCUUCAUUGGGAUAAAUAAAGUUCGGUGGCGACUCUGUUCGAACAUAAAUUUUUCCGCGACCAUCGCGAGGAACCGUAUUUUUCGAGAUGCGACAAUCACCCCUGUAACCUUGGAUCUUCCUCCAUGUUUCUAUUUAAUGAGAAAUUAGAGCUUGAAAAUCAAGGUGCAGAAACUGAAAUGGCACGAUUCAUGAAAUUAAGACCACCAAUGGCCUGCCUCUUGCUCGAGGACUUCAGAAAACAGUUCAAACUCAAGCAAUUCACAUUGUAUUUCAAGAUCCAGAUCAAACAAGUUUAGUGAUAUACCUCUGAAAUGCAACUUUGAACAGCACGAUUUGCUCAAGUUAUUGAUCCAAUUUUGAUUUGGAGAUGUAAUGAGGAUGCAAGGCUAAGGAAUUAAGACUUGAAGAUCAACUAAUGAUGUUGAAAUUCAAGCUUGAAUUUGAAAAAUGAAAACUGAAAUUCCUUCAAGUGAGGUUGGGUUUUCACUUCAGCAGCUGAUCAGUCACCAUUUAUGCUAGACAUUCCACUAUUUAACCGUAAAUAAGUCAGGUAAAAAACUAGUUUGGAAGCUCAGGGAAUCAAACGUCAGAUGCGAAAUUGAGCCUGAGCAAGAAAACGGAAGAAAAAAAUCAAUUUUUGGAGAACCUGCUGUCCAUACGCGUAUGGCCUUACAUGAUACGCGUAUGGACCUGCCCAGUACGCGUAGCAUACGCAUAUGACCAGAGGGAUGGAAAAUCAAGCAAAAUAGCAAGCUUCUGGUGAUACGCGUAUGGGACUGGGCAGUACGCGUACCAGACUGGGCAAUACGCGUACCAGCCUGGGCAAUACGCGUAUCAGAGGCUGUCUUACGUGCAGUACGCGUAUGGGACAGCUCAGUACGCGUAUGGAGCACAAAAUCAGGAAAAGUCCAACUGAAUAGCUAUUAAGAGGGCAAAACACGAUUUUCCGGGGGUUGGACGAAUUGGAGAGAAAAGAGACGCGUUUUGAGAGCUGGAGACUCUACGAUUAUCAAAGGAUUCAUAUGUUCAAGAGUUUUCCGACGAUUGAAGAUUGAUUCCUCACGAAAUUCUGUAAUGACAACAAUGUUAAUCUUUGUUUUUAUUUCGAUUAUGAGUAGCUAAACCCCCCAUUGCUAGGGGGGUGACCCUGAUUCUGAAUGUGACAGAUUUGAUGUUUAUGAAUGCAUUGAUUAUUUCUUCUUUUCCA